GAUGAACGCUGACAGAAUGCUUAACACAUGCAAGUCAACUUGAAUUUGGGUUUUUAACUUAGGUUUGGGUGGCGGACGGGUGAGUAACGCGUAAAGAACUUGCCUCACAGCUAGGGACAACAUUUGGAAACGAAUGCUAAUACCUAAUAUUAUGAUAAUAGGGCAUCCUAUAAUUAUGAAAGCUAUAAGCGCUGUGAGAGAGCUUUGCGUCCCAUUAGCUAGUUGGAGAGGUAACGGCUCACCAAGGCGAUGAUGGGUAGCCGGCCUGAGAGGGUGAUCGGCCACAAGGGGACUGAGACACGGCCCUUACUCCUACGGGAGGCAGCAGUGGGGAAUAUUGGACAAUGGACCGAGAGUCUGAUCCAGCAAUUCUGUGUGCACGAUGAAGUUUUUCGGAAUGUAAAGUGCUUUCAGUUGGGAAGAAACAAAUGACGGUACCAACAGAAGAAGUGACGGCUAAAUACAUG
This 467-nucleotide ribosomal RNA is filed under the name uncultured bacterium. Its description in RNAcentral is "partial 16S ribosomal RNA". It matches the Rfam family "Bacterial small subunit ribosomal RNA", at positions 28 to 507 of the family's 1533-position model. The record is from RNAcentral.